Molecule: long non-coding RNA, 596 nt
Organism: Pan troglodytes (chimpanzee)
Lineage: Eukaryota; Metazoa; Chordata; Mammalia; Primates; Hominidae
Exons: 2
Source: RefSeq, a predicted model, not a curated record
GAGAUAUGACAGAGACAAAAAGCAGGCUGAGAGUCCCUGCUCUGGACUCUAGAUCGCAAUGAAGCCACAUCUUUCUACAACUUUUGAAAGAAGCAGAAGUGAUCCAGUAGGUCCGACCCACCUGCAAGGGGAGAGGCUUACGCAAGAGCAUGAAAACCUGAGGACAGAGACCACCAGGACCAACAAAGGCUGCGGACCACAGAGACACUCUUUAUUCAUGGAAUAAACCUGGAGCCUGAUUCUCCCACGGCGAGCCUCCUGAAAUGAUAGAAGCUAUGGAGGGAGGCCACAUGUCAGCAUUAUUAUUGUUCAUCAUUCAUUCAGGCCCACAAAAGCGAGAGCAUCUCCAUACGGGUGUGGAUUUUAAAAUCAGGAAAGCAGGCCAGACUGAAUUCAUGCUUAGGCACAGCUGCUCAGAACUGACCACCCUAAGGGGCCCACUGUUAAUAACUCAUCCUUUCUGAUGAUCCGCCCACCGCCUGUUGUGGCUGCUGCCACUGUUCAGCUCUGUCCCCUGCCCUGAGAAACAUGUGCUGCCAGAGGUUCGUCCUCACAAUAAUAACCGCUAACGCUGAGUGAGAGCAUGUGAUGGUCAA